Elusimicrobia bacterium GWA2_51_34 is the source of this 85-nucleotide non-coding RNA. NCBI's taxonomy places the organism in Bacteria, Pseudomonadati, Elusimicrobiota. The record is from Rfam.
GGGCAAGUGGCGGAACUGGUAGACGCGCAGGUCUCAAAAACCUGUUUGCCUCUGGCGAGUGAGGGUUCGACUCCCUCCUUGCCCA